Carassius auratus (goldfish) is the source of this 202-nucleotide long non-coding RNA. RefSeq lists it as uncharacterized. The record is from RefSeq and is a predicted model, not a curated record. NCBI's taxonomy places the organism in Eukaryota, Metazoa, Chordata, Actinopteri, Cypriniformes, Cyprinidae. The transcript has 3 exons.
UUUUUCUCAUCGUCUGCUAAUGAAGUGUCACCAAAAACACAUACAGGUUUAACACCAUUCAUCUUGCCAUCAGUUAUGGGGAUAUUGAUGGUGUUUGGAUUCUUAGUGUUCAUUUACUUAUCAUGCAGACAAAAUAAAGAAGGAGUGCGUCUGAGAGGCGUCAUUCAUGUCUUGGCUGAUAACCUGUCCGAUAAAGAAAGUG